CGAGUUUGAUCAUGGCUCAGGAUGAACGCUGGCGGCGUGCUUAAUACAUGCAAGUCGAACGGACAGUAGCAAUACUGUUAGUGGCGAACGGGUGAGUAACACGUGGAUGACCUGCCCCGAAGUGUGGGAUAACAGUUCGAAAGGACUGCUAAUACCGCAUGUGGUCAGAGGGUUUAGAAGCUUCUGACUAAAGGAUUAAUUCGCUUCGGGAGGGAUCUGCGUCCCAUCAGCUAGUUGGUGAGGUAACGGCUCACCAAGGCGACGACGGGUAGGGGGCCUGAGAGGGUGAUCCCCCACACUGGCACUGAAACACGGGCCAGACACCUACGGGUGGCAGCAGUAGGGAAUAUUGCACAAUGGGCGCAAGCCUGAUGCAGCAACGCCGCGUGCGCGAUGAAGGCCUUCGGUCGUAAAGCGCUUUCUUGGAGGACGAGGAAGGACGGUACUCCAGGAAUAAGGCUCGGCUAACUACGUG
This 475-nucleotide ribosomal RNA is filed under the name uncultured bacterium. Its description in RNAcentral is "bacterial SSU rRNA". It matches the Rfam family "Bacterial small subunit ribosomal RNA", at positions 9 to 507 of the family's 1533-position model. The record is from RNAcentral.